Cheilinus undulatus (humphead wrasse) is the source of this 679-nucleotide long non-coding RNA. RefSeq lists it as uncharacterized. The transcript is spliced from 4 exons. The record is from RefSeq and is a predicted model, not a curated record. Lineage: Eukaryota; Metazoa; Chordata; Actinopteri; Labriformes; Labridae.
GUCACAAAUUAACAGGGUCGCACAUUUAUCAUAACACCUACAGGGGUUGUACGAAGGCAACUGUGCGCAUCAUGAAGAGCAUAGAAAGUAGUCCGCCUUGCUUAAUCUCGGGAUCAUAUCAGAAGCCGUUUAAAAGCUAUGCUGGUUUAUCUGAUGCCUGCCAACGCAUAUCUUAGCAAGUGAAGCUAACUAGCGUAGGUUAGCUUCGUAGAGGUCCUCUUUCAAUUCCAACUCUAUUAUCGUCUGUCAAGUUUCUAGCCAGAAUUUCAACUGUGACAGUUAGCAUAGAGAGGAACUUUGAUAGAAGAGAACAUAGAGCAUAGAAGACAACUUUGCUCGAAGGGUUUCCUUCGCCUCUACUCCUGAAGAAAAUGUGCUUAAAGAAGAUGUCUGUGUGUCAAGCACCACCAAACUUUCAUGAAGGGGUGAUCCAAGUGUUUCCGGAAGGAAUAUUGCAGCCACUCCACUGAUAAUAGGAGCUCCUCCAUAGAUCAGACCUGGCAACCAAGGCCUGUAGUCCCCUAUCCAGGACAGUGUGGGUGCCCUGAGAACAGGACAGCUCCUUCUUCAUCGACUCCUGCACCAUCUAUGCAUAAUAAUUAAAGGAUGCUGUGAUUGUUUAGGCGAACAUCUUACUGAGUGAGAAGGUGUUGAGCCCCAUGCCGGACAGAGACAUGCC